UGUGUGUGUGUGUGUGUGUGUGUGUGUGUGUGUGUGUGUGUGUAUCACAAGGGUCCUUGGAUGCUGAAAUCCACACUUCGCACCC
Molecule: microRNA precursor, 85 nt
Filed under: Sorex araneus (European shrew)
Lineage: Eukaryota; Metazoa; Chordata; Mammalia; Eulipotyphla; Soricidae
Description: miRNA (ENSSARG00000016867.1)
Source: RNAcentral